Molecule: ribosomal RNA, 274 nt
Filed under: uncultured bacterium
Lineage: Bacteria
Description: partial 16S ribosomal RNA
Rfam family: Bacterial small subunit ribosomal RNA
Source: RNAcentral
AUACGGGGGGUGCAAGCGUUAAUCGGAAUUACUGGGCGUAAAGAGCGCGUAGGCGGUUUGCUCAGUCGGAUGUGAAAGCCCAGGGCUCAACCUUGGAACUGCAUACGAUACUGGCAAACUAGAGUGUGAGAAAGGAUAGUGGAAUUUCCGGUGUAGCGGUGAAAUGCGUAGAUAUCGGAAGGAACAUCAGUGGCGAAGGCGACUGUCUGGCUCAACACUGACGCUGAGGUGCGAAAGCGUGGGUAGCAAACAGGAUUAGAAACCCCAGUAGUCC